CAGGAUGAACGCUAGCUACAGGCUUAACACAUGCAAGUCGAGGGGCAGCAUGGUCUUAGCUUGCUAAGGCCGAUGGCGACCGGCGCACGGGUGAGUAACACGUAUCCAACCUGCCGUCUACUCUUGGACAGCCUUCUGAAAGGAAGAUUAAUACAAGAUGGCAUCAUGAGUCCGCAUGUUCACAUGAUUAAAGGUAUUCCGGUAGACGAUGGGGAUGCGUUCCAUUAGAUAGUAGGCGGGGUAACGGCCCACCUAGUCUUCGAUGGAUAGGGGUUCUGAGAGGAAGGUCCCCCACAUUGGAACUGAGACACGGUCCAAACUCCUACGGGAGGCAGCAGUGAGGAAUAUUGGUCAAUGGGCGAGAGCCUGAACCAGCCAAGUAGCGUGAAGGAUGACUGCCCUAUGGGUUGUAAACUUCUUUUAUAAAGGAAUAAAGUCGGGUAUGGAUACCCGUUUGCAUGUACUUUAUGAAUAAGGAUCGGCUAACUCCGUGCCAGCAGCCGCGGUAAUACGGAGGAUCCGAGCGUUAUCCGGAUUUAUUGGGUUUAAAGGGAGCGUAGAUGGAUGUUUAAGUCAGUUGUGAAAGUUUGCGGCUCAACCGUAAAAUUGCAGUUGAUACUGGAUAUCUUGAGUGCAGUUGAGGCAGGCGGAAUUCGUGGUGUAGCGGUGAAAUGCUUAGAUAUCACGAAGAACUCCGAUUGCGAAGGCAGCCUGCUAAGCUGCAACUGACAUUGAGGCUCGAAAGUGUGGGUAUCAAACAGGAUUAGAUACCCUGGUAGUCCACACGGUAAACGAUGAAUACUCGCUGUUUGCGAUAUACAGCAAGCGGCCAAGCGAAAGCGUUAAGUAUUCCACCUGGGGAGUACGCCGGCAACGGUGAAACUCAAAGGAAUUGACGGGGGCCCGCACAAGCGGAGGAACAUGUGGUUUAAUUCGAUGAUACGCGAGGAACCUUACCCGGGCUUAAAUUGCAGAUGAAUUACGGUGAAAGCCGUAAGCCGCAAGGCAUCUGUGAAGGUGCUGCAUGGUUGUCGUCAGCUCGUGCCGUGAGGUGUCGGCUUAAGUGCCAUAACGAGCGCAACCCUUGUUGUCAGUUACUAACAGGUUCCGCUGAGGACUCUGACAAGACUGCCAUCGUAAGAUGUGAGGAAGGUGGGGAUGACGUCAAAUCAGCACGGCCCUUACGUCCGGGGCUACACACGUGUUACAAUGGGGGGUACAGAGGGCCGCUACCACGCGAGUGGAUGCCAAUCCCCAAAACCUCUCUCAGUUCGGACUGGAGUCUGCAACCCGACUCCACGAAGCUGGAUUCGCUAGUAAUCGCGCAUCAGCCACGGCGCGGUGAAUACGUUCCCGGGCCUUGUACACACCGCCCGUCAAGCCAUGGGAGCCGGGGGUACCUGAAGUGCGUAACCGCGAGGAGCGCCCUAGGGUAAAACU
This 1440-nucleotide ribosomal RNA is filed under the name uncultured organism. Its description in RNAcentral is "SSU rRNA". It matches the Rfam family "Bacterial small subunit ribosomal RNA". The record is from RNAcentral.